RNAcentral lists this ribosomal RNA (460 nucleotides) under uncultured bacterium. RNAcentral describes it as "partial 16S ribosomal RNA". It matches the Rfam family "Bacterial small subunit ribosomal RNA", at positions 338 to 795 of the family's 1533-position model. The record is from RNAcentral.
CCUACGGGGUGCAGCAGUGAGGAAUAUUGGUCAAUGGACGAGAGUCUGAACCAGCCAAGUAGCGUGAAGGAUGACUGCCCUAUGGGUUGUAAACUUCUUUUAUAUGGGAAUAAAACGUUCCACGUGUGGGAUUUUGUAUGUACCAUAUGAAUAAGGAUCGGCUAACUCCGUGCCAGCAGCCGCGGUAAUACGGAGGAUCCGAGCGUUAUCCUGAUUUAUUGGGUUUAAAGGGAGCGUAGGUGGAUUGUUAAGUCAGUUGUGAAAGUUUGCGGCUCAACCGUAAAAUUGCAGUUGAAACUGGCAGUCUUGAGUACAGUAGAGGUGGGCGGAAUUCGUGGUGUAGCGGUGAAAUGCUUAGAUAUCACGAAGAACUCCGAUUGCGAAGGCAGUUCACUGGACUGCAACUGACACUGAGGCUCGAAAGUGUGGGUAUCAAACAGGAUUAGAUACCCCUGUAGUC